RNAcentral lists this ribosomal RNA (550 nucleotides) under uncultured bacterium. RNAcentral's name for it is "bacterial SSU rRNA". It matches the Rfam family "Bacterial small subunit ribosomal RNA", at positions 355 to 896 of the family's 1533-position model. The record is from RNAcentral.
UAGGGAAUCUUCGGCAAUGGACGGAAGUCUGACCGAGCAACGCCGCGUGAGUGAAGAAGGUUUUCGGAUCGUAAAGCUCUGUUGUAAGAGAAGAACGAGUGUGAGAGUGGAAAGUUCACACUGUGACGGUAACUUACCAGAAAGGGACGGCUAACUACGUGCCAGCAGCCGCGGUAAUACGUAGGCCCCGAGCGUUAUCCGGAUUUAUUGGGCGUAAAGCGAGCGCAGGCGGUUAGAUAAGUCUGAAGUUAAAGGCUGUGGCUUAACCAUAGUACGCUUUGGAAACUGUUUAACUUGAGUGCAGAAGGGGAGAGUGGAAUUCCAUGUGUAGCGGUGAAAUGCGUAGAUAUAUGGAGGAACACCGGUGGCGAAAGCGGCUCUCUGGUCUGUAACUGACGCUGAGGCUCGAAAGCGUGGGGAGCAAACAGGAUUAGAUACCCUGGUAGUCCACGCCGUAAACGAUGAGUGCUAGGUGUUGGGUCCUUUCCGGGACUCAGUGCCGCAGCUAACGCAUUAAGCACUCCGCCUGGGGAGUACGACCGCAAGGUUG